AGAGUUUGAUCCUGGCUCAGAUUGAACGCUGGCGGCAUGCCUUACACAUGCAAGUCGAACGGUAACAGGCCGCAAGGUGCUGACGAGUGGCGAACGGGUGAGUAAUGCAUCGGAACGUGCCCAGUAGUGGGGGAUAGCCCGGCGAAAGCCGGAUUAAUACCGCAUACGACCUAUGGGUGAAAGCGGGGGACCGAAAGGCCUCGCGCUAUUGGAGCGGCCGAUGUCAGAUUAGGUAGUUGGUGGGGUAAAGGCCUACCAAGCCUACGAUCUGUAGCUGGUCUGAGAGGACGACCAGCCACACUGGGACUGAGACACGGCCCAGACUCCUACGGGAGGCAGCAGUGGGGAAUUUUGGACAAUGGGCGCAAGCCUGAUCCAGCCAUGCCGCGUGCGGGAAGAAGGCCUUCGGGUUGUAAACCGCUUUUGUCAGGGAAGAAAUCUUCUGAGUUAAUACCUCGGGAGGAUGACGGUACCUGAAGAAUAAGCACCGGCUAACUACGUGCCAGCAGCCGCGGUAAU
Molecule: ribosomal RNA, 519 nt
Filed under: uncultured bacterium
Lineage: Bacteria
Description: bacterial SSU rRNA
Rfam family: Bacterial small subunit ribosomal RNA
Source: RNAcentral